AGUGAACGCUGGCGGUAGGCCUAACACAUGCAAGUCGAACGGCAGCACAGUAAGAGCUUGCUCUUACGGGUGGCGAGUGGCGGACGGGUGAGGAAUACAUCGGAAUCUACUUUUUCGUGGGGGAUAACGUAGGGAAACUUACGCUAAUACCGCAUACGACCUACGGGUGAAAGCAGGGGAUCUUCGGACCUUGCGCGAUUGAAUGAGCCGAUGUCGGAUUAGCUAGUUGGCGGGGUAAAGGCCCACCAAGGCGACGAUCCGUAGCUGGUCUGAGAGGAUGAUCAGCCACACUGGAACUGAGACACGGUCCAGACUCCUACGGGAGGCAGCAGUGGGGAAUAUUGGACAAUGGGCGCAAGCCUGAUCCAGCCAUACCGCGUGGGUGAAGAAGGCCUUCGGGUUGUAAAGCCCUUUUGUUGGGAAAGAAAAGCAGCAGGUUAAUACCCCGCUGUUCGGACGGGACCCAAAGAAUAAGCACCGGCGAACUUCGG
RNAcentral lists this ribosomal RNA (491 nucleotides) under uncultured bacterium. Its description in RNAcentral is "partial 16S ribosomal RNA". It matches the Rfam family "Bacterial small subunit ribosomal RNA", at positions 29 to 506 of the family's 1533-position model. The record is from RNAcentral.